AGAGAUGCAUUGGGCAUAAAGCGUGCGCAGGCGGUUUUGUAAGACAGAGGUGAAAUCCCCGGGCUCAACCUGGGAACUGCCUUUGUGACUGCAAGGCUGGAGUGCGGCAGAGGGGGAUGGAAUUCCGCGUGUAGCAGUGAAAUGCGUAGAUAUGCGGAGGAACACCGAUGGCGAAGGCAAUCCCCCUGGGCCUGCACUGACGCUCAUGCACGAAAGCGUGGGGAGCAAACA
RNAcentral lists this ribosomal RNA (231 nucleotides) under uncultured Alicycliphilus sp. RNAcentral's name for it is "partial 16S ribosomal RNA". It matches the Rfam family "Bacterial small subunit ribosomal RNA", at positions 548 to 774 of the family's 1533-position model. Lineage: Bacteria; Pseudomonadati; Pseudomonadota; Betaproteobacteria; Burkholderiales; Comamonadaceae. The record is from RNAcentral.